Molecule: non-coding RNA, 875 nt
Organism: Oncorhynchus mykiss (rainbow trout)
Lineage: Eukaryota; Metazoa; Chordata; Actinopteri; Salmoniformes; Salmonidae
Source: RefSeq, a predicted model, not a curated record
UAAUAACCUGCUAUGUGUUAAUUAACCUAUCCACCCUCUUUUACAGCUUUUCUGUUACGUAAUAACCUGCUAUGUGUUAAUUAACCUAUCCACCCUCUUUUACAGCUUUUCUGUUACGUAAUAACCUGCUAUGUGUUAAUUAACCUAUCCACCCUCUUUUACAGCUUUUCUGUUACGUAAUAACCUGCUAUGUGUUAAUUAACCUAUCCACCCAUCUUUUACAGCUUUUCUGUUACGUAAUAACCUGCUAUGUGUUAAUUAACCUAUCCACCCAUCUUUUACAGCUUUUCUGUUACGUAAUAACCUGCUAUGUGUUAAUUAACCUAUCCACCCAUCUUUUACAGCUUUUCUGUUACGUAAUAACCUGCUAUGUGUUAAUUAACCUAUCCACCCUCUUUUACAGCUUUUCUGUUACGUAAUAACCUGCUAUGUGUUAAUUAACCUAUCCACGCCUCUUUUACAGCUUUUCUGUUACGUAAUAAGCUGCUAGGUGUUAAUUAACCUAUCCACCCUCUUUUACAGCUUUUCUGUUACGUAAUAACCUGCUAUGUGUUAAUUAACCUAUCCACCCUCUUUUACAGCUUUUCUGCUAUGUAAUAACCUGCUAUGUUAACCUAUCCACGCCUCUUUUACAGCUUUUCUGCUAUGUAAUAACCUGCUAGGUGUUUAUUGGACAUUAUUGUUAUGAGUAAAUCUAUGAUCAUGUGAUGUUGAGUACCUACCUGCAUUCCUGUGUUUAUUUUCCCCCUCGUGACAAUUGGAGCUAUAUUUCUGUCAACACUGCACAUCCACUCCAGUUUCCCACGCCCUCUACUCUUCUGCCUCCUCCUUCUCCUCUUCCCUACGCCCUCUACUCGUCUGCCUCCUCCUUCUCC